RNAcentral lists this unclassified non-coding RNA (202 nucleotides) under Hevea brasiliensis (rubber tree). Lineage: Eukaryota; Viridiplantae; Streptophyta; Magnoliopsida; Malpighiales; Euphorbiaceae. The record is from RNAcentral.
CAAGCCAAUCUAAUGUACCUUCAAGGGUCAAGGAAAAAUACUAUACAAGAUGAAUGAUCUGUUAACAAAAAAUUUUCAUUGACUCAUUGAAGUGAAGUCAGUUUUCAUGUUAUGGUACGGUAAAGAUAAUUCUCAAACAGCUUAAACUUUCAAAAAGUUCAGAAACAUUUUUCUACAGUUCCAGUUUUUAUAAAUUAUCAUG